AGAGUUUGAUCAUGGCUCAGGAUGAACGCUAGCGGCAGGCUUAACACAUGCAAGUCGAGGGGCAGCGAGAUGUAGCAAUACAUUGUCGGCGACCGGCGCACGGGUGCGUAACGCGUAUGCAACCUACCAUAUACAGGAGGAUAACCAUUCGAAAGAAUGACUAAUACUCCAUAGUAUUAUUUUGAGGCAUCUUAGAAUAAUUAAAGAAUUUCGGUAUAUGCUGGGCAUGCGUGACAUUAGCUAGUUGGAGAGGUAACGGCUCACCAAGGCUACGAUGUCUAGGGGUUUUGAGAGGAAGAUCCCCCACACUGGUACUGAGACACGGACCAGACUCCUACGGGAGGCAGCAGUGAGGAAUAUUGGUCAAUGGACGGAAGUCUGAACCAGCCAUGCCGCGUGAAGGAAGACUGCCCUAUGGGUUGUAAACUUCUUUUAUGCGGGGAUAAACCUAUCUUUGCGAAGAUAGCUGAAGGUACCGUAUGAAUAAGCAUCGGCUAACUCCGUGCCAGCAGCCGCGGUAAUACGGAGGAUGCGAGCGUUAUCCGGAUUUAUUGGGUUUAAAGGGUGCGUAGGCGGACAAAUAAGUCAGUGGUGAAAUCACUCAGCUUAACUGAGUAACUGCCAUUGAUACUGUUAGUCUAGAAUGUAAAUGGAGUAGGCGGAAUGAAUCAUGUAGAGGUGACAUUCAUAGAUAUGAUUCAGAACACCGAUCGCGAAGGCAGCUUGCUAAGAUACAAUUGACGCUGAGGCACGAAAGCGUGGGUAGCAAACAGGAUUAGAUACCCUGGUAGUCCACGCUGUAAACGAUGAUAACUCGUUGUCGGCGAUACACAGUCGGUGACUGAGCGAAAGCGAUAAGUUAUCCACCUGGGGAGUACGAUCGCAAGGUUGAAACUCAAAGGAAUUGACGG
This 911-nucleotide ribosomal RNA is filed under the name uncultured bacterium. RNAcentral describes it as "bacterial SSU rRNA". It matches the Rfam family "Bacterial small subunit ribosomal RNA", at positions 8 to 916 of the family's 1533-position model. The record is from RNAcentral.